AUUUCAGGGACAGGGAUGGAUGCCCCAGUGUAAAAGUCAUGAAAAGCCUCCCUAAGGGAGAAUGAGGAGGUGUGAGACACAGGCAGAGGCAGGGAGAAGAUUACGACAUGUCUCACUCAGGUGAUUAUUACAUCACUGGGGAAGCGGGGUACCAGAAGAAGAAAAGAGAUUUACCCUGACACCCAUGACUUCUCUGUGAGAAAACAGCUAGCAUAGAAUUUGACACAUAAAUGUCAAAAAUAAAUAAAUCCACGAUUGGUGGAAUUUCAGGCAAUCUUGCUGAUAGCAAGGAAAAGUUUUCUGCCUAUCCUAAGGAGUAAUGACCUAACAUAUAACCUUCUUCCAGAUAAGACUAAUGCUUCUAAAAUUGCUUAGCGACAGCUACACUGGUCAGCGGUUGAGGGAUUUAUUUUAAGAAAAAAAGCACUGGUAAAGAGAUUGGAAUGUAGUGAAGAUAUGAGAUCAUAAAAUCAGUGUCUGAACCAACAGAGCUCCAGAGGCCUUGCCUUGAAGAAUGACAGCAAGUAUUCUCCUUGUGAAGACUAUGAAGCCUGCCAUUUUCUGGGCCAAGACUGAGAAGAGGUGUGUAUUUGGGACUACAGAACAUAAGAUGUAAACUUUAAAGUCCGUGGUUCCAGUGGAUUUUCUGUAAAAGCCAUAUACCCCUGGCCAUCCAGAGUUCCAUGGUUAAGUAUGGUGUAAUGCUCUGAUAGAGAAUGAAUGAAGCUGGACAAGAUGCCAUAAUGCAGUUUCACUAGUGGAGAGAGCCACCUCUCAUCAGAGGCUUCUGCCUUCACAGAAUAUUGAUGAGGUCCCCGCCACAGUGUCCUUGCCAUAGGAACUG
This 844-nucleotide long non-coding RNA is filed under the name Homo sapiens (human). RNAcentral describes it as "HSALNT0143466". The record is from RNAcentral. Lineage: Eukaryota; Metazoa; Chordata; Mammalia; Primates; Hominidae.